RNAcentral lists this unclassified non-coding RNA (2552 nucleotides) under Hevea brasiliensis (rubber tree). Lineage: Eukaryota; Viridiplantae; Streptophyta; Magnoliopsida; Malpighiales; Euphorbiaceae. The record is from RNAcentral.
GGACAAAAUAAUUUUUUUUUUAGAACGUCACUUAAAAUGGGAAUAAAGCAUUCUUAUGCCAAAUGGAAAGCAAACUACAUAACGCACUAAUCUUAUGCAGAAUGGGAAAGAUUUGCAAAUUAUAAGACAAAGGCAUCCACCUGAUCCAAAAACUAUACAGACUACUGAUGAUACACUUGAUUAGGGUCACCGUGACAUUUAGGAUGGAAAUAUGUUUCUGUUUCUAGGAUGGAAAUCUCUUGCCAUUCAUCCAAUAUUACUCAUCAUCCAUUCUACUUCUUGCCGCAUGUUGCCUUCCAAAGGCAACGAGUCUCCAUUACCAAACCCAACCCUUGGUCUUUUCUUUAUGGAAGCCGCAGCCUGUGAACCAACACCAAUUGGAGAAACUGGUCUCCCCGUUGAAGUCAAGCAGCUUUCAACGGAGCAAUGACCAAUUCGAGCUGGCAAAUUUGCAGUAUUUUUGUUCUCCAAAGCUGCAGCAAGUUCAGAAAAUGAAGGCAUUUUUAUGUUAUCAACUGGGACAAUUCCUUGGCAUUCACUGGAAACCUUGAUUGCUAGUUCAGAUAACUCUUCCCUGGCAGCUUCAAGCCCAGCAGAUACAGCAGCCUCAUCAUUCAGAGCUUUACAAGCUUUCUCAAGAAUUGACUGUAGGUAUUUUCCCUGUGCUUCAAUUCGAAGUUGAAGAUGACGUUGCACCUGCUUACAGUUAAAACCCUCAAAAAAAGUUCUAAAAACCAUCACUAUGCUAGCACACUUUGUAUUAAAGAAAAGAUUGCAAAUUAUACAACGAAAGGCAACAGAAAUAUAGAUUGCCGCUCGUAUUUGUUUAUAAACCAUUUCCAAAAAUCUUAUUCGUCAAAUAAAUGCUAGGUUAUGACUCAUGACUAACCCACUGUGAAAUUGCUCAACUGUCAUAUGCUAACCUCAAAAAGUCUGAAAGCCACAAUUUGUUGGCCACACCAAAUGCAAGAGCAAGAGUGAAAACUAACCUCUAGCUGCUCAUGCAGUCUUCGUUGGACUUCCAUCUGUACCCGCAAAGCCUCAGUAACCUGGUAGCCACUGUUAAGAUGAAGAAAAGCAACAUUUCAAUGAGGACACAGAGAUAGAGCAAAGUGGCACAAAAAGGGAAAAUAUGCCAUACUCAUUCAGAUCCUGUGCUAUCAUUCUUGAUGAUGUUGAUGAACCAGUAUCCUGACAUUCUGCAACAGACGCUGCAAUCCCAACUACACGCCAUUACUAAAUGAAUUAGAAUUUUAACUUCAUUUUCUCACCAGAAUUUCAUUUUGCAUAAAGAGAACGAUUUCAUUCUAUUCCUUAAUUCUACCUGCCUAAACACACUUCACAUUGCCACCCUCUCUCAAACAUUUAUGAUCUUGCAGGAUCAUUUUAAUAAUUGUCUUAAGCCCCUGAAAAGAACUAUAUAUUGCGGGGAAAAUGAUAGCAUGUGUAAACUCGAAAGGAUUCCAAAGAAAUUGAGUUUCAUACCAUCUUUAGAAUUAUCAUUUGAUUCCUUGCAAGAUUGCCUUCCCAACCUGUAUUUCUGUAAGUGGGAUUUUAAGUGAUAAAGGGUAAGGCCCUUUACCCCCAUUGUUCUCAUAAUAGUCUUUGGUGUUGCUUCUGCAAAGCAUGUCAAGAAACCAGAAAUUUUACUUAAUCAAUCAAGAAUCAUUCACUAGAAUGGUAAUUCAAGUUCACUUAACAUGCUUGUGUUGCCUGAUCACAAUUGGAUUUCAGGAUUCAAGUUGACAAUAUGCUAGGCUUAGCUAGAACCAAGCCAGGACAAAUUGAGAACAAAGAUUAUAGACCUAUAUUUUAUAAUUAUCUUUCCGCUUGAAAUGAGCGAUGAUACCACUAUCACUGAUAGCAGAGUACUGCAAGCCAAGUAUGAAGUCCACAACACUGAAACCCACAAUAAAAGCAACUAGCAUCAUAUUUAACAAGUCAAAUCCAAUAUUUGGCUAAUCAUAUUCAAACAUCUUAAUAUCAGAGCACAGUGCCCUAUACAGACCAUUUACAGAUUUACUUCUAGCUUUUUAGGUCAAGUUAUUACGGGAGUUUGUGCAUGUUAUUCAACACCUGAGCCUCGAAGUAAACCUUGAUGUCUGUGCUCAAGGCAUCAAACUAGGCCUUGCAUUCAUCAAAUUAAACAGUGGCCACCUCACACCCUAUUGUGGAUCAUAGGAUGCUGCAUCAACUAAGGGGCACUACACCCUGUGCAGCAUUUGCAGAUGACUUACUUUUAGAGCAGCUACAGCUCCUUGCAACAAUAUCUCGAAACAGACACAAACUAAUUACUGUUAUUAAACCAUUUUUGGUGGUGAAAUAAAAGGUGUGAGAAAUGAAAACACUGGAUUGAGUAAAUUUAAGAUCAAAAUAAGAAACUGUCUUUCUAAUAGGUUGAGCAAGCCUAAAAAGAUUCAUGAUUGUAACCACUAGAUAACAUCCACGAAAAAACACAACCACACCACAUCUAUCACCACUACUGCACUUCAAAGGAUUGAACAUUCAAGCCACCAUCCAGUCCUAUUAGUGAAUGUUCUCUAUAAGAGUGC